GAAUUUAGGACUCCAGCACAUUCCCUUUCCAUUUCUCCUUUUUCCUUUAUUUUUUCUCAAUCACUUUCCUUCUCCUCCCUCUCCCAUUUACGAAGGAGAAUUCACCUUCUCCCUUUCCUCCCCUUCCUCGCCUGCCGCACGAUCUGCAGGCCACAGGAUUUCUUGGCCGCCCGAUCCACCUCGCCGGCCACCGUCGUCCGUCCUCCGCGCACGCCGCCGGCCACCGC
RNAcentral lists this long non-coding RNA (227 nucleotides) under Setaria viridis. RNAcentral describes it as "long non-coding RNA (SVIR_LNC011174)". The record is from RNAcentral. Lineage: Eukaryota; Viridiplantae; Streptophyta; Magnoliopsida; Poales; Poaceae.